CCUUAGCCACUCCCGGCGCCAACUCGGUCCAGAGAGGCCGGGUGCACGCCCGCUAUGACACCCCGUCGCCCCGCGCCCCAACCGGACCAGAGCUGCAUGCGGUAUGUGCUGGCAUGUGUUCACCUGUCCUGAGUUGUCCGCCUGCCGAAACCCACAACCUCCCGAGGCACCGCCACAGCUUCCCGCCCCACAUGCUUGUCCGGGCGGAGACUGGUUUCUCCUCAAGUUUAGGACCUAAACUGUUCUGGGGUCGAGUUGACCGUUCAUGGCCUGUAUGUCCGGGGUUUGUGGACAGGCCUUGGAAAGACCUCCUACCUGUGCUGGAAACCAUGGAUGUUGGAUGGGAUGUGGAGGUUGUGGGCCGCAAAAGAGAAAGAAAAGAGGAUGGCUGGCGGGCGGAGAAGAAAUCCAUGAGGACGGAGGGACUUGAUGCACUGGGCUCCAUGGGCAGAAUGCGCUCCGAUGACGCUUCCCGCUUGCACCCUGGAUGCGACCAACUACAAAACGCAUUCUUGUCGGUUGUCUCGGUUUCGCUUAUAAAUCGAGACGCGGCAGUAGAUGUAACCACGGAAAAAGACGGAAUGAAACAGACCGAUCUGUUGUCAGGAUCCAUGGCCUCUGAUCCUGUCUUGACCGUGAAACGGAAGUGUGCCACAUAUUCUUGCUAAAAAGCUUAUGAGGAUAUAGGCUCAACGAAGGAAUGUAAACAGCGACACCCAGAUGUGGGUGUAAGGAUGGCGGGUUCUUUCUUCAAUGUUUCACAGUCAUUUGUUUAAGAUCAUCGAAUAAAGACAAAAAUCCACACCGAAA
Molecule: long non-coding RNA, 810 nt
Organism: Myotis lucifugus (little brown bat)
Lineage: Eukaryota; Metazoa; Chordata; Mammalia; Chiroptera; Vespertilionidae
Exons: 2
Source: RefSeq, a predicted model, not a curated record